GAUGAACGCUGGCGGCGUGCUUAUCACAUGCAAGUCGAACGGUGAAGCAGGAGCUUGCUCAUGUGGAUCAGUGGCGAACGGGUGAGUAACACGUGAGCAACCUGCCCCUGACUCUGGGAUAAGCGCUGGACACGGCGUCUAACACUGGAUAUGUGAUGUGACCGCAGGGUCUGCAUCUGGAAAGAGUUUGGGUUGGGGAUGGGCUCGCGGCCUAUCAGCUUGUUGGGGAGGUAAUGGCUCACCAAGGCGUCGACGGGUAGCCGGCCUGGGAGGGUGACCGGCCACACUGGGACUGGGACACGGGCCAGGCUCCAACGGGAGGCAGCAGUGGGGAAUAUUGCACAAUGGGCGGAAGCCUGAUGCAGCAAUGCCGCGUGAGGGAUGACGGCCUUCGGGUUGUAAACCUCUUUUAGCAGGGAAGAAGCGAAAGUGACGGUACCUGCAGAAAAAGCACCGGCUAACUACGUGCCAGCCGCCGCCGUAA
RNAcentral lists this ribosomal RNA (484 nucleotides) under uncultured bacterium. Its description in RNAcentral is "partial 16S ribosomal RNA". It matches the Rfam family "Bacterial small subunit ribosomal RNA", at positions 28 to 523 of the family's 1533-position model. The record is from RNAcentral.